UUCACUCUUGCAAAAUCAUUUAAAUAGUUUUUAAUCUUCCAAGAAGUAUUAUUUUGUCCCAAAUGGGCCUAGACUUGUUAUCAAUAAUACGCAUUAUACUAAAUAGAUAUUUAACCAAAUUGAUUGUUUGCAAAUGCAAAUUUACAUCCUGAUGUGACCAUAUAUAUAUAUUAUGAAAACAUGUGACCACAUAUGUUUGACAAGACAUAUGGUGUACAAGCUAACCGUCUCAUGUGCAGUCACAUCCAAUUUAUAUAUGAGAAGGAC
This 267-nucleotide long non-coding RNA is filed under the name Elaeis guineensis (African oil palm). RNAcentral's name for it is "long non-coding RNA (EGUI_LNC004513)". The record is from RNAcentral. Lineage: Eukaryota; Viridiplantae; Streptophyta; Magnoliopsida; Arecales; Arecaceae.